Molecule: ribosomal RNA, 303 nt
Filed under: Triticum aestivum (bread wheat)
Lineage: Eukaryota; Viridiplantae; Streptophyta; Magnoliopsida; Poales; Poaceae
Description: partial small subunit ribosomal RNA
Source: RNAcentral
AUGGCGGAAACAGGUGAUAGUAGUGGGUCAGGAGAUCGGAGAUCAGAGGAAGCGGCAAAACUCUUGGAGAGGUUGAAUCUUCAAGACGGGGAAAUAGAUGAUCUAGUCUGGGAAGAUGAGGUUGAUGUGGAUGAAAUCAAACCAAAGUGGCUAGCCCUAGGGCGACUGCUGACAACAAAAAGCUUUAGCCAGAGUGCGUUGAUUGCGGAUAUGAAGGCAGCCUGGAACCCGGCACAACAGGUAGUUUGGAGGAGAAUCAGUGCUAAUUUAUUUUCGAUCCAAUUUAACUGCUUAGCGGAUUGG